RNAcentral lists this ribosomal RNA (536 nucleotides) under Badhamia foliicola. RNAcentral describes it as "SSU rRNA". It matches the Rfam family "Eukaryotic small subunit ribosomal RNA", at positions 1149 to 1673 of the family's 1831-position model. The record is from RNAcentral. Lineage: Eukaryota; Evosea; Eumycetozoa; Physariida; Physaraceae.
GGAAUUGACGGAAGGGCACACAAAGAGUGGAACCUGCGGCUUAAUUUGACUCAACACGGGAAAACUCACCAGGUCCGGAUACACGUAUGAAAGUCAAGCUGAAAGACUUUACUCAAUGAUGUAAGUGGUGGUGCAUGGUCGUUCUUAGUUCGUGGAUUGAUUUGUCUGGUCUAUUCCGAUAACGAGCGAGACCCCGGCGUUCCUAAUAGGGGCGGCAGCCAAGCCGGUCGCAAGAUCGGCUAGCUCGCCGCCUGAAGUUAUACUUCUUAGACGUAUCAGAGCCGACAAGGUUCUUGAAAUGGGUUAAUAACAGGUCAGUCAUGCCCUUAGAUGUUCUGGGCCGCACGCGCGUUACAAUGGCACGUAUACCGAGUGCUUGAAUAAGGCGUCCCCGGGGCCGAAAGGUCCCGGUAACCCUUAGUCCUUGCUUUGACUGGGACAGAUCUUUGCAAUUAUUGGUCUCAAACGAGGAAUUUUUAGUAAUCGUAGGUCAUUAACCUGCGUUGAAUGCGUCCCUGCCCUUUGUACACACCGCC